GGAAAAGAAAAUAACAAUGAUUCCCUCAGUAACGGCGAGCGAAGAGGGAUAAGCUCAANUUUUAANUCUGUUGGGUUCCACUUAACAGAGUUGUAUUUUGAAGAAACGUUUUCUGCGUCCAGGAUUAGCCUAAAUCCUUUGGGAUAAGGUAUCAUGGAGGGUGAGAAUCCCGUUCAUGGUUAAUCUUAAGGAAGCUCUACGAUACGUUUUCCAAGAGUCGAGUUGUUUGGGAUUGCAGCUCAAAAUGGGAGGUAAAUUUCUCCUAAGGCUAAAUAUUGGCGAGAGACCGAUAGCGAACAAGUACCGUGAGGGAAAGAUGAAAAGAACUUUGAAAAGAGAGUUAAACAGUACGUGAAAUUGUUGAAAGGGAAACGAUUGAAGUCAGUCAUACCAACGGGAAAUCAACCUUUUGAGCUCGGUCUCGUGGGUUUUGAAGAGUUUCAAAGCCUUCGGAUUCGCGGGAUUGGGAUCUCUCGGUGUACUUUUUCGUACGGUUAGUCAACAUCGGUUUUGAAUGUCAUAAAAUGACUGGAGGAAUGUAGCUUCGAUCUCGUAUUGAAGUGUUAUAGCCUUUGGUAGAUGUGAUGUUUGAGACCGAGGAUUGCAACGGAUACCCUUCAGGGCUAUUCGUCUGAUCUCUGAUACGUUGCCUUGAUGUUGAAAGCUUGCUUAUGAUGUUAGGGUAUUACGGUCAAAAGGUUAGAACGAAUUACAUUCGUUAAGGAUGUUGACGUAAUGACUUUAAACGACCCGUCUUG
RNAcentral lists this ribosomal RNA (758 nucleotides) under Glomeromycotina sp. OTU17 DJMC-2012. Its description in RNAcentral is "eukaryotic LSU rRNA". It matches the Rfam family "Eukaryotic large subunit ribosomal RNA", at positions 55 to 656 of the family's 3401-position model. Lineage: Eukaryota; Fungi; Glomeromycota. The record is from RNAcentral.